UACAGAGGGGGCAAGCGUUGUUCGGAAUUACUGGGCGUAAAGGGCGCGUAGGCGGCCUUCUAAGUCGAACGUGAAAUCCCCGGGCUCAACCCGGGAACUGCGUCCGAUACUGGAAGGCUUGAAUCCGGGAGAGGGAUGCGGAAUUCCAGGUGUAGCGGUGAAAUGCGUAGAUAUCAGGAGGAACACCAAUGGCGAAGGCAGCUCUCUGGUACGUGACUGACGCUGAGACGCGAAAGCGUGGGGAGCGAACAGG
RNAcentral lists this ribosomal RNA (253 nucleotides) under uncultured bacterium. RNAcentral's name for it is "partial 16S ribosomal RNA". It matches the Rfam family "Bacterial small subunit ribosomal RNA", at positions 524 to 776 of the family's 1533-position model. The record is from RNAcentral.